UAUUGAUGAGCUGCUUCAGUGCUCUGAGAGUGUUUAUAGUGCUGUGACUUUAACACUUCAUCACCGACACACACAACAAUCUUCAUCAACAUGACCUUCAUCAUCAUCUUCAUCUGGACUCUCACAGCGUUUGCUCAAGAGUGUAGAGGACAGAUCAGCGUCACUCAGAGUCCCUCAACAACAGCAGAGAGAGCAGGAGAAACAGUCAGAAUCAGCUGCAAAACCAGUACAGAUGUGUACAGAUACAGUGAUGGGGAUGAUGCUUUCUUCUGGUAUUCACAGAAACCUGGAGAAGCUCCUAAACUCCUGAUUUUUUACGCUAACCAACUCAAGUCAGGAACUCCAUCUAGAUUCAGUGGCAGUGGAUCUAAAAGUGAUUUCUCUCUGACCAUCAGUGGAGUCCAGACUGAAGAUGCUGGACAUUAUUACUGUCAGAGUUUUCACUGCAGAACAGAUUCAGAUGGUGAUUGUGAGAGUGAUUAUGUGUUCACACAGUGAUAAAGAGUCGUACAAAAACCUCCUUCAUUCAGAGUCUCAGAGACUGAACUGAAACUAUCUC
This is a non-coding RNA of Puntigrus tetrazona (Sumatra barb), 559 nucleotides long. The record is from the annotation of a RefSeq genome assembly. NCBI's taxonomy places the organism in Eukaryota, Metazoa, Chordata, Actinopteri, Cypriniformes, Cyprinidae.